AUUGAACGCUGGCGGCAGGCUUAACACAUGCAAGUCGAGCGGGGUGAUGGUGCUUGCACUAUCACUUAGCGGCGGACGGGUGAGUAAUGCUUAGGAAUCUGCCUAUUAGUGGGGGACAACAUCUCGAAAGGGAUGCUAAUACCGCAUACGUCCUACGGUAGAAAGCAGGGGAUCACUUGUGACCUUGCGCUAAUAGAUGAGCCUAAGUCGGAUUAGCUAGUUGGUGGGGUAAAGGCCUACCAAGGCGACGAUCUGUAGCGGGUCUGCGAGGAUGAUCCGCCACACUGGGACUUAGACACGGCCCAGAAUCCUACGGGAGGCAGCAGUAGGGAAUAUUGGACAAUGGGGGGAACCCUGAUCCAGCCAUGCCGCGUGUGUGAAGAAGGCCUUAUGGUUGUAAAGCACUUUAAGCGAGGAGGAGGCUCUUUUGGUUAAUACCCAGAAUGAGUGGACGUUACUCGCAGAAUAAGCACCGGCUAACUCUGUGCCAGCCGCCGCCGUAA
RNAcentral lists this ribosomal RNA (503 nucleotides) under uncultured bacterium. RNAcentral's name for it is "partial 16S ribosomal RNA". It matches the Rfam family "Bacterial small subunit ribosomal RNA", at positions 30 to 523 of the family's 1533-position model. The record is from RNAcentral.